UGUGGUCAAGUUUCUAAGAGCAAACGGUGGAUGCCUUGGCAUCUGGAGCCGAAGAAGGACGUAGAAAUCUGCGAUAAGCCUCGGGGAGCUGAUAAUCGAGCUGUGAUCCGAGGAUUUCCGAAUGGGGAAACCCCGCCAGGCGACUUGUCGACCUGGUGACUCCCGCCUGAAUAUAUAGGGCGGGUAGAGGGAACGUGGGGAAGUGAAACAUCUCAGUACCCACAGGAAGAGAAAACAACAUGUGAUUCCGUGAGUAGUGGCGAGCGAAAACGGAUGAGGCUAAACCGAUCAUGUGUGAUAGCCGGCGGGCGUUGCAUGGUCGGGGUUGUGGGACACGUCGCUCAGUUCUGCCGGACUGGGACGGUUACAGCGCAUCAUAGUCGAACCGGUUUGAAAGCCGGGCCGUAGUGGGUGCCAGCCCCGUAGACGAAAUGGUGUUAUGGCCGGAUGUGUAUCCCAAGUAGCACGGGGCCCGAGAAAUCCCGUGUGAAUCUGUCAGGACCACCUGAUAAGCCUAAAUACUCCCAGAUGACCGAUAGCGGACAAGUACCGUGAGGGAAAGGUGAAAAGUACCCCGGGAGGGGAGUGAAAUAGUACCUGAAACCGUUUGCUUACAAACCGUCGGAGCCUCCUUUGUAGGGGUGACGGCGUGCCUUUUGAAGAAUGAGCCUGCGAGUUAGCGAUAUGUGGCGAGGUUAACCCGUGUGGGGUAGCCGUAGCGAAAGCGAGUCUGAAUAGGGCGAUUCAGUCGCAUGUCCUAGACCCGAAGCGAAGUGAUCUAUCCAUGGCCAGGUUGAAGCGACGGUAAGACGUCGUGGAGGACCGAACCCACUUCAGUUGAAAAUGGAGGGGAUGAGCUGUGGAUAGGGGUGAAAGGCCAAUCAAACUUCGUGAUAGCUGGUUCUCUCCGAAAUGCAUUUAGGUGCAGCGUUGCGUGUUUCUCGCCGGAGGUAGAGCUACUGGAUGGCCGAUGGGCCUCAACAGGUUACUGACGUCAGCCAAACUCCGAAUGCCGGUGAGUGAGAGCGCAGCAGUGAGACGGUGGGGGAUAAGCUUCAUCGUCGAGAGGGAAACAACCCAGACUACCAACUAAGGCCCCUAAGCGUGUGCUAAGUGGGAAAGGAUGUGGAGUUGCACAGACAACCAGGAGGUUGGCUUAGAAGCAGCCACCCUUGAAAGAGUGCGUAAUAGCUCACUGGUCAAGUGAUUCCGCGCCGACAAUGUAACGGGGCUCAAGCACACCGCCGAAGUUGUAGAUUUCGCACAUGGACAAGCCUUCGUGGUUCAGUCGUGCGGAGUGGUAGGAGAGCGUCGUGUGGCGAGUGAAGCGGCGGAGUGAUCCAGCCGUGGACGCCACACGAGUGAGAAUGCAGGCAUGAGUAGCGAAAGACGGGUGAGAAACCCGUCCUCCGAAAGACCAAGGGUUCCAGGGCCAGGUUAAUCCGCCCUGGGUAAGUCGGGACCUAAGGCGAGGCCGACAGGCGUAGUCGAUGGACAACGGGUUGAUAUUCCCGUACCGGCGAACAACCGCCCAAGCUAAUCCAGUGGUGCUAAGAGUCCUAACCCGGCACUUGUUGAUCCCUUCGGGGUGAGACGGGCCGGUCUAACGCUCGACCCCAUGCUGGUGCGGUUAGCGUAUGAACAGGUGUGACGCAGGAAGGUAGCUGAGCCAGGCGAUGGUAUCCGUAAGGUGAACCUGGUGUAAGGAUGUAGGGCUGACGAUAGGCAAAUCCGUCGUCUGUACGCCUGAGAUCCGACGCGUACCCGUAAGGGGAAAUCAGUGAUCCUAUGCUGCCGAGAAAAGCAUCGACGCGAGGUUGCAGCCGCCCGUACCCGAAACCGACUCAGGUGGUCAGGUAGAGAAUACCAAGGAGAUCGAGAUAAUCGUGGUUAAGGAACUCGGCAAAAUGCCCCCGUAACUUCGGGAGAAGGGGGGCCGGACACGUGACCGGAUUCACUCCGUGAGCGUUGAAGGCCGCAGAGACCAGUGGGAAGCGACUGUUUACUAAAAACACAGGUCCGUGCGAAGUCGCAAGACGAUGUAUACGGACUGACGCCUGCCCGGUGCUGGAAGGUUAAGAGGAAGGGUCAGCCUCACGGCGAAGCUCUGAAUUUAAGCCCCAGUAAACGGCGGUGGUAACUAUAACCAUCCUAAGGUAGCGAAAUUCCUUGUCGGGUAAGUUCCGACC
RNAcentral lists this ribosomal RNA (2189 nucleotides) under Curtobacterium sp. MCPF17_046. RNAcentral's name for it is "bacterial LSU rRNA". It matches the Rfam family "Bacterial large subunit ribosomal RNA", at positions 1 to 1988 of the family's 2925-position model. Lineage: Bacteria; Bacillati; Actinomycetota; Actinomycetes; Micrococcales; Microbacteriaceae. The record is from RNAcentral.